AAUCAACGCUGGCGGCGUGCCUCAGACAUGCAAGUCGAACGCGAAAGUUCCCUUCGGGGGGCGAGUAGAGUGGCGCACGGGUGAGUAACACGUAGGUAAUCUACCUUUGGGUGGGGAAUAACAGCCGGAAACGGCUGCUAAUACCGCAUAAUGCAGCGGCUCGACAUCGAGACAGUUGUUAAAGCGGGGGAUCGCAAGACCUCGCGCCUAAAGAGGAGCCUGCGGCGGAUUAGCUUGUUGGUGAGGUAAUGGCUCACCAAGGCAUCGAUCCGUAGCCGGCCUGAGAGGGCGGUCGGCCACACUGACACUGACAUACGGGUCAGACUCCUACGGGAGGCAGCAGUCGGG
This 348-nucleotide ribosomal RNA is filed under the name uncultured bacterium. RNAcentral's name for it is "bacterial SSU rRNA". It matches the Rfam family "Bacterial small subunit ribosomal RNA", at positions 32 to 359 of the family's 1533-position model. The record is from RNAcentral.